This is an RNA transcript of Musa acuminata AAA Group (dessert banana), 986 nucleotides long. RefSeq lists it as uncharacterized. The transcript is spliced from 4 exons. The record is from RefSeq and is a predicted model, not a curated record. NCBI's taxonomy places the organism in Eukaryota, Viridiplantae, Streptophyta, Magnoliopsida, Zingiberales, Musaceae.
GUGACGCCCGGGGAAUGGCGUGGCGUGACGAGCAUGGCGACGAUGAAUAAUAAAGAAUUUGAAAGAGGCAGGAAGUCACAAGAACAAGCAGACGGACGCCUCUUUCCAUCUAUUCUUCGCUCGGGCAAUGGAAGGGGAAGCUGCUUCUCGACCUCCGAGGCCGUUCAUGGGGGUGAAGGCCCGCCGCGGAGCCUCCUUCCGCCGGGACGUCAAGGGUGAUUACCUCGACGUCCCCUCCGACCCCUUCCUCUCCGCCAUCUUGUCCAAGCAAGGAGAUGAGACACUUCUAUUUGCUGACAAGGUCUUGAAGUGUACAGGCACUGGAAAGAUGAAGCGGUGUAUAUUAAUGAUUACGGGUUCUGCUAUCUAUCUUGUUGAUCCAGAUGCUGAUGUAUUGAAACGACGAAUUAUGCUUGCAUCUAUCGAUAAGAUAUGUUUGAGCAAGCUGAGUGAUAACUUCUUUGCGGUCAUUGUUCCAAGUGAAUAUGAUUGUCUUAUGGCCAGCACCAGGAAAACAGAAAUUGUUACUGUCCUCGUUGAAGCUUCCAAAAGUAGAUCAGAAUAUGAGAUUGGAGUGGUUUUCUCCAAUAGGUUCGAGUAUCGUGCUGCUGCUGACAUGGUGAAGGAAGUUCGGUUUGCGGAAGUAGACGGUCAGUCAUUUACUUUACGUUUUGGAACAUAUCCGAGUGAAAACUGAAGCUAAAAUUGCGCUUUAAAAAUGAAUAUGCAUCUGUGCUUCUGGAAGUUUCAGGAAAGGAUCAUUCAGGGGGCAUUAAAACAAGGAUCGUGAAGAAAUAUCGUUGACAUUUGAGUUUGACUAGCACCCUGAAAGCGGCCUUGUAUAGACAAUACUAGAUUAGACUUGUCUCCUACUCUUGAUCGUUGAUUUGUCGUCAGUCUCCGGUGUGCCUUUAUGCAAUUUCACAUGUUGCCGUAAAGGCUGUAAUCAAAUAACUCGGUUUAAAUUGUUGCAGAUGCUUCCUCGA